CAGUGGGGAAUCUUGCGCAAUGGGCGAAAGCCUGACGCAGCCAUGCCGCGUGUAUGAUGAAGGUCUUAGGAUUGUAAAAUACUUUCACCGGGGAAGAUAAUGACGGUACCCGGAGAAGAAGCCCCGGCUAACUUCGUGCCAGCAGCCGCGGUAAUACGAAGGGGGCUAGCGUUGCUCGGAAUUACUGGGCGUAAAGGGCGCGUAGGCGGAUAGUUUAGUCAGAGGUGAAAGCCCAGGGCUCAACCUUGGAAUUGCCUUUGAUACUGGCUAUCUUGAGUUCGGAAGAGGUAAGUGGAAUGCCGAGUGUAGAGGUGAAAUUCGUAGAUAUUCGGCGGAACACCAGUGGCGAAGGCGACUUACUGGUCCGAUACUGACGCUGAGGCGCGAAAGCGUGGGGAGCAAACAGGAUUAGA
Molecule: ribosomal RNA, 413 nt
Filed under: uncultured bacterium
Lineage: Bacteria
Description: bacterial SSU rRNA
Rfam family: Bacterial small subunit ribosomal RNA
Source: RNAcentral